This is a long non-coding RNA of Dicentrarchus labrax (European seabass), 211 nucleotides long. RefSeq lists it as uncharacterized. NCBI's taxonomy places the organism in Eukaryota, Metazoa, Chordata, Actinopteri, Moronidae. The record is from RefSeq and is a predicted model, not a curated record. The transcript is spliced from 2 exons.
AUAAAGUGUGAUGAGGUGGUGAAGCAGCGUGGGAUCAUGGGAGUUGUUGUCUUCACCACCAUUGGCGUCAGCUUCUCCCGGUUAGGAUUCCUUCAGUGUUCAUGGUUCAGGAGGUUUCUACCGGGAGCCCAAUGAUCCACAGAGGUCUCCUCCUCUCCAACACAAACAGACCCGCUGAUUAAAACCACUAAACACACUGAAUAAAGCAGUU